CAGACAUACACACACGACAAUUUAUCGUGC
Molecule: small RNA, 30 nt
Filed under: Bombyx mori (domestic silkworm)
Lineage: Eukaryota; Metazoa; Arthropoda; Insecta; Lepidoptera; Bombycidae
Description: ovarian small RNA-13115
Source: RNAcentral